CUGCAUCUGUAUCAGCAUCAGCAUCUGCAUCUGCACCAACUGUGAGUGAACCAGGCUUCAAGGAGGCUAGCUUUCCUGCAACCUACCCUGGCUGACACCACAU
This 103-nucleotide microRNA precursor is filed under the name Myotis lucifugus (little brown bat). RNAcentral's name for it is "miRNA (ENSMLUG00000029301.1)". The record is from RNAcentral. Lineage: Eukaryota; Metazoa; Chordata; Mammalia; Chiroptera; Vespertilionidae.